Molecule: ribosomal RNA, 712 nt
Filed under: Radix auricularia
Lineage: Eukaryota; Metazoa; Mollusca; Gastropoda; Lymnaeidae
Description: SSU rRNA
Rfam family: Eukaryotic small subunit ribosomal RNA
Source: RNAcentral
CAAUUGGAGGGCAAGUCUGGUGCCAGCAGCCGCGGUAAUUCCAGCUCCAAUAGCGUAUAUUAAAGUUGUUGCAGUUAAAAAGCUCGUAGUUGGAUCUCGGGUGCAGGCGGGCGGUCCGGCUCGCGCCGGUUCACUGCCCGUAUUGAAAUCCUGCCCUACUUGUCUGCCGGCUCUCUCCCGCGGGUGCUCUUCGCUGAGCGUCCCGGGUGGCCGGCGCGUUUACUUUGAAAAAAUUAGAGUGUUCAAAGCAGGCAUUCACAAGCCUGAAUAAUGGUGCAUGGAAUAAUGGAAUAGGACCUCGGUUCUAUUUUGUUGGUUUUCGGAACUGGAGGUAAUGAUUAACAGGGACAAACGGGGGCAUUCGUAUUGCGGCGUUAGAGGUGAAAUUCUUGGAUCGCCGCAAGACGAACUACUGCGAAAGCAUUUGUCAAGAAUGUUUUCAUUAGUCAAGAACGAAAGUCAGAGGCGCGAAGACGAUCAGAUACCGUCGUAGUUCUGACCAUAAACUAUGCCACCUGGCCAUCCGCAGGAGUUGCUUCGAUGACUCUGCGGGCGGCCUCCGGGAAACCAAAGGCUUUGGGUUCCGGGGGAAGUAUGGUUGCAAAGCUGAAACUUAAAGGAAUUGACGGAAGGGCACCACCAGGAGUGGAGCUGCGGCUUAAUUUGACUCAACACGGGAAAACUCACCCGGUCCGGACACUGUAAGGAUUGA